RNAcentral lists this long non-coding RNA (118 nucleotides) under Chinchilla lanigera (long-tailed chinchilla). RNAcentral describes it as "ST7 overlapping transcript 3 conserved region 3 (ENSCLAG00000018288.1)". It matches the Rfam family "ST7 overlapping transcript 3 conserved region 3". The record is from RNAcentral. Lineage: Eukaryota; Metazoa; Chordata; Mammalia; Rodentia; Chinchillidae.
AGUUUACCCAUGGUUGAGUACCUGGUCCAUGCUAGGUAUGUAGCUGAGGGCCCAUUUCUGUUUCUUGAUAUGAAGUGCAUCUUAACCUCUAAGAAACCACUCCUGCAGUUCACAUCAG